AUGGCUCAGGACGAACGCUGGCGGCAUGCCUAACACAUGCAAGUCGAACGGAGUAAUGACUUCGGUUAUUACUUAGUGGCGAACGGGUGAGUAACACGUGAAUAAUCUGCCCUGUACGAUGGGAUAACAGCUGGAAACGGCUGCUAAUACCGUAUAUGACCACGCCGAGGCAUCUCGGAGGGGUGAAAGCGCUUAAGCGGUACAGGAUGAGUUCGCGUCCAAUUAGCUAGUUGGUGAGGUAACGGCCCACCAAGGCGACGAUUGGUAGCCGACCUGAGAGGGUGAUCGGCCACACUGGAACUGAGACACGGUCCAGACUCCUACGGGAGGCAGCAGUGGGGAAUAUUGGGCAAUGGAAGAAACUCCUUACCCAGCAAUGCCGCGUGAGUGAUGAAGGUCUUCGGAUUGUAAAGCUCUUUGAUUGGGGACGAAUAAAUGACGGUACCCAAGGAACAAGCCCCGGCUAACUAUGUGCCAGCCGCCGC
RNAcentral lists this ribosomal RNA (485 nucleotides) under uncultured bacterium. RNAcentral's name for it is "bacterial SSU rRNA". It matches the Rfam family "Bacterial small subunit ribosomal RNA", at positions 19 to 518 of the family's 1533-position model. The record is from RNAcentral.